Molecule: ribosomal RNA, 497 nt
Filed under: uncultured bacterium
Lineage: Bacteria
Description: partial 16S ribosomal RNA
Rfam family: Bacterial small subunit ribosomal RNA
Source: RNAcentral
GAUGAACGCUGGCGGCGUGCCUAAUACAUGCAAGUCGAGCGAACAGACGAGGAGCUUGCUCCUCUGACGUUAGCGGCGGACGGGUGAGUAACACGUGGAUAACCUACCUAUAAGACUGGGAUAACUUCGGGAAACCGGAGCUAAUACCGGAUAAUGUAUUGAACCGCAUGGUUCAAUAGUGAAAGACGGUUUUGCUGUCACUUAUAGAUGGAUCCGCGCCGCAUUAGCUAGUUGGUAAGGUAACGGCUUACCAAGGCGACGAUGCGUAGCCGACCUGAGAGGGUGAUCGGCCACACUGGAACUGAGACACGGUCCAGACUCCUACGGGAGGCAGCAGUAGGGAAUCUUCCGCAAUGGGCGAAAGCCUGACGGAGCAACGCCGCGUGAGUGAUGAAGGUCUUCGGAUCGUAAAACUCUGUUAUUAGGGAAGAACAAAUGUGUAAGUAACUAUGCACGUCUUGACGGUACCUAAUCAGAAAGCCACGGCUAACUACGUG